This 500-nucleotide ribosomal RNA is filed under the name uncultured bacterium. Its description in RNAcentral is "bacterial SSU rRNA". It matches the Rfam family "Bacterial small subunit ribosomal RNA", at positions 1054 to 1533 of the family's 1533-position model. The record is from RNAcentral.
GUCAGCUCGAGUCGAGAGAUGUUGGGUUAAGUCCCGCAACGAGCGCAACCCUUGUCAUUAGUUGCUACAUUCAGUUGGGCACUCUAAUGAGACUGCCGGUGACAAACCGGAGGAAGGUGGGGAUGACGUCAAGUCCUCAUGGCCCUUAUAGGUGGGGCUACACACGUCAUACAAUGGCUGGUACAGAGGGUUGCCAACCCGCGAGGGGGAGCCAAUCCCAUAAAGCCAGUCGUAGUCCGGAUCGCAGUCUGCAACUCGACUGCGUGAAGUCGGAAUCGCUAGUAAUCGCGGAUCAGAAUGUCGCGGUGAAUACGUUCCCGGGUCUUGUACACACCGCCCGUCACACCAUGGGAGCGGGUUCUGCCAGAAGUAGUUAGCCUAACCGCAAGGAGGGCGAUUACCACGGCAGGGUUCGUGACUGGGGUGAAGUCGUAACAAGGUAGCCGUAAAGGGCGAAUUCUGCAGAUAUCCAUCACACUGGCGGCCGCUCGAGCAUGCAU